This 2432-nucleotide unclassified non-coding RNA is filed under the name Dermacentor andersoni. Its description in RNAcentral is "tubulin monoglutamylase TTLL4-like". The record is from RNAcentral. Lineage: Eukaryota; Metazoa; Arthropoda; Arachnida; Ixodida; Ixodidae.
UGUCGAUUGCGGUAUUGCGAGCCACAAAAAGCAAAAGUCAAAGCAAUCCAGUCCUUCCAAGCGCGUGUUCAGAAGGAUUGAGAAGGGAUGGUGACGCAGGUGCAGCCGCUAGCGCGGGGCUCGUCGCUGUACCACAUGCUGGAGGACAGCCAGGCGGCCAUCUUCUGCUGUUGCUGUGAGGUGCCCUCGCCCGGCUGUGCUCGGCGCACUACCUCUUCCUCUCCUCCACCAACACCCCCCGACGACCACAACAGCCCCGCCUCACCUGCGUCACUGCCAUCUUCCUCCUCUUCUUCGUCGCUAGACAGUGCUGCCCUUCCACCAUCUGACACAUCACCAGAAGAAAGCGGAGGCGGUGGUCACCAAUCACGAUCGACCAAAAGGUCUCUGUCCGACAUGGGUGCAGCUCAGCAGCAGCAGCACAAAGAGGGCGCAGCCGACGCGGAACGCGACAGGCUGUGCUCGCCUUUCCGGCGCAGCUUGUUUCCAGGUGUCCCGCCAACACUUCAGUUCUACUCGGACGGAUACCAAGUGAUCCCCUUGCCAGCGUGCAUCCGCAAGCAGCUGCGGUGGAAAGUGACGAGCAUCACACCUUUACUCAUUCGUCAGACAGUGGUCCGGUCUGGUUUUCGGCUCACCCGCGAUGGACCUUACUGGAAUGGGACGUGGGGCAAACACAUCAAGUGCUUCACCUUUGCAGAGAUCAAGGGCUUUCAGAAGGUGAACCACUUUCCAGGCAGCUUUCACCUGGGGCGCAAGGACAAGCUGUGGCAGAACGUGGUGCGGCUGGGACGCAUCCGUGGUGAUAGGGGACGCCCAUCGCUGCCCGACACAUUCCUCCUGCCCCAGGAGCUGCCUCUGCUGCGGGACGCCUGGAUUGCCGAGACUCCGGGGGACCACUGCUGGAUCAUCAAGCCCCCUGCAUCGGCAAGAGGUGCGGGUGUGCACGUGGUCCACCGCUGGGACCAGAUACCCAAGAAGCAGCCACUGGUGGUCCAGAGGUACGUGCGGACUCCAUACCUCAUAAACGGGACCAAGUUUGACCUGCGCCUGUAUGCGCUAGUGACCAGCUUUGACCCCCUCAAGAUCUACUUGUUCCCGGAUGGCCUGGUUCGCUUUGCUUCCAACAAAUACUCGCAAGAGAGUGAGGACCUUAGUGACCGGUACAUGCACCUGACCAACUACAGCAUCAACAAGAAGAGUGCCACCUACACAGCUGGAGGCAGUGGGGACUGCCAAGGGCACAAGUGGUCCAUAAAAGCCCUGCAGGGCUACCUAGAAGCGCUGGGCGUGGACUUUGCCAGCCUCUGGGACCAGAUGGUCGGCAUCGUUGUCAAGGCGCUAGCCUGUGCGGAGGGCCCUAUGAACCGGCUAAUCCAGAGGCACACAUCAAGUCGCUACACAUGCUAUGAGCUCUUCGGCUUUGACAUCUUGCUGGACGACCAGCUAAAGCCCUGGCUCCUCGAGGUCAACAUCUCGCCCAGCUUACGAUCUGCAACACCAGUCGACUACGCCGUCAAGAGUGAGGUGGUGAAGGACAUGCUGAACAUAGUGGGAUUCCAACUGCCUCAGCAGCUCAAGGACGACCUUGACGAGAGGCUACUACAGUGCUACGGUCUGGAAGAGCAAGAUGAUCUGUCCCUGAACCCUCUCCUUCACACGUACAGUCUCUCGCCGGCCGAACUCCUCAAGCACCGGCACUACGAGACAAGCCUGAUUGAUGUGGAGGAAGAGACCUCUGGCCUGCUAGACAGCCUGACGCCCGACGACGUCCGGGUGUUGGUGCAGAGCGAAGACGAGCUCUCGCGCUGUGGCUCCUUCAAGCGGGUGUUUCCAGGUGGCCGCCACGGAGACGUCAGCCUGCUCGCCCACCGCCGCUACUACAACCUCCUGCUGGCAGCCUGGGAGAGGCAAUACGGGGACCAGAGGCACAAAGGUGUGGAGUGGCUGCAACGACUCUGUGCCAAGGGCUUCCACCUAACGUCACCAGACACGGAACGGGUGCCCACUGCCGAAAGCCAGCCUUCUCCCAUUUCCGAAAAAAGGAAGUGGCACUGGCGUAAUUUUACACUAUGUACUUCCUCUCACGUGGGAAUGUAAAGUCUACUUUGGUGUGUGGCGAGAGUCCACGAGAUGCAAAAUCUGGAUGCGGCAGCCACCGACGCAAGGUGACCCGCAACGUGAGCAUCCUGGCUCUGCAGAAGGAGCGCCAGCAUCGCGGCUGACCGCGUCCAGCUGCCGUUCGAGCUGCUGAGCCACAGGCUCGCUCCGAACGUCACAUGUUGUACAGCCCCGUUCGUUUUGCGCAGGGGAAAAGAAAGAACCUCCGCGUUGUGUUUUAACCACUCCCACGGGAGUCCUCUUGUUCUGCUGUAUUUAUGCGUUCUGCCGGCCCGGCCCUUCAGAAUAAAACACAGUAUUUCGUUCCUGGA